UCUCCACAGACUGGUGCAUGGCCAGCUCCAUCACGUAUUUCACUCUGAAGUCAUCAGUAGCAAGAUGGCAUUGUCCACAGAACUUGCAAAGAUCUCAGCCCUCAGGUCCUCAGUGGUCUUGAGAUAAUGCCCCCAGUGUCUGACCCAGGGUCCCUUCUUCUCUAGGUGUUCCUGGAUUUCGCUUUCCAGUCUUCGAUCAUCAGCCUCCAGACGUCUCACUUCUUCAGACUGUUCCAGAGCACAGAGAAAGAAGGAAAACUUCCAUAUUUGGGGGAAGCAAGUAUAAGAUUGAUACCAAAACCUGACAAAGACUGCACAAAAGAAGAAAACCAUAGACUGAAGCUCACUUUUGUGACUCUAGAUGCAAAACUGUUUUAAACAAGUAGAAUCCAGCAGCACAUCAGUAAAACAAUGCUUCAUGAUCAAGAGAAGUUUAUUCAGUUAGAAAUACUUUUCCUGCAGUAUUACUCAUCUGCUUUAACAUCCACAUAUGCAGUGAUUUGAACUGAUACUAGCCAACUGGGACAAGACAAAUUAG
Artibeus jamaicensis (Jamaican fruit-eating bat) is the source of this 538-nucleotide long non-coding RNA. RefSeq lists it as uncharacterized. The transcript is spliced from 3 exons. Lineage: Eukaryota; Metazoa; Chordata; Mammalia; Chiroptera; Phyllostomidae. The record is from RefSeq and is a predicted model, not a curated record.